GAAAUGCGAUAAGUAAUGUGAAUUGCAGAAUUCAGUGAAUCGUCGAAUCUUUGAACGCACCUUGCGCUCCUUGGUAUUCCUUGGAGCAUGCCUGUUUGAGUAUCAUGAAAUCUUCAAAGUAAAUCUUUUGUUAACUCAAUUGGUUUCUACUUUGGUAUUGGAGGUCUUUGCAGCUUCACACCUGCUCCUCUUUGUUCAUUAGCUGGAUCUCAGUGUUAUGCUUGGUUCCACUCGGCGUGAUAAGUUAUCUAUCGCUGAGGACACUGUAAAAGGUGGCCAAGGUAAAUGCAGAUGAACCGCUUCUAAUAGUCCAUUGACUUGGACAAUACUUUUAUGAUCUGAUCUCAAAUCAGGUAGGACUACCCGCUGAACUUAAGC
This 378-nucleotide unclassified non-coding RNA is filed under the name plant metagenome. RNAcentral describes it as "partial contains 5.8S ribosomal RNA, internal transcribed spacer 2, and large subunit ribosomal RNA". The stretch from base 1 to 105 matches the Rfam family "5.8S ribosomal RNA", at positions 50 to 154 of the family's 154-position model. The record is from RNAcentral.